RNAcentral lists this non-coding RNA (134 nucleotides) under Sporosarcina sp. Lineage: Bacteria; Bacillati; Bacillota; Bacilli; Caryophanales; Caryophanaceae. The record is from RNAcentral.
UGAAUAGUUUGAAAACCGGGUGAAAUGGGAGCAAUUUCAUUUCUUAAAAGGGAAUCCUUACUUUUGGAGCGGUCCCGCCACUGUGAAGACGCUAUUGCGUCCAGCCAGAUACCUGCCCGUUUUCAUGACGCUUC